RNAcentral lists this ribosomal RNA (403 nucleotides) under bacterium. RNAcentral describes it as "partial 16S ribosomal RNA". It matches the Rfam family "Bacterial small subunit ribosomal RNA", at positions 355 to 776 of the family's 1533-position model. The record is from RNAcentral.
UGGGGAAUAUUGCACAAUGGGGGAAACCCUGAUGCAGCGACGCCGCGUGAACGAAGAAGGUAUUCGUAUCGUAAAGUUCUGUCCUAUGGGAAGAUAAUGACAGUACCAUAGAAGAAAGCUCCGGCUAAAUACGUGCCAGCAGCCGCGGUAAUACGUAUGGAGCGAGCGUUGUCCGGAAUUAUUGGGCGUAAAGGGUACGCAGGCGGUUUAAUAAGUCGAAUGUUAAAGAUCGGGGCUCAACCCCGUAAAGCAUUGGAAACUGAUAAACUGGAGUAGUGGAGAGGAGAGUGGAAUUCCUAGUGUAGUGGUGAAAUACGUAGAUAUUAGGAGGAAUACCAGUAGCGAAGGCGACUUUCUGGACACAAACUGACGCUGAGGUACGAAAGCGUGGAGAGCAAGCAGG